ACCCCAGCUUCAACUGACAGCAACACAGAAUAGUUUCUUUGACUAUACUAAGAGGUAAUAAGACUUACAUCAUAUUAAUGCUAAAUCAUUUAGACUGAAAGGGAAAACCAAGUCGGGUACUUCUAUAAAUCCGAAAACUAUUUCACAGGACAAUAUUCUCCUUUUGGGUUUAAAAUCGCCUUUAUACCACCCCAGAAUCCAGCUGUGACCUCUGCUGUUGGAGAUAAGCUCAACUCUCCUUAACUCUUCUUUCUAUUCUAAUAUCCAUACAAUAACUUUUUGCAGGAACUUCUACCUGUCUACUUAGUGAACCAGCAAAAUGGGUAACGCACCAUCGGAAGCUACAAUGGCCAACCUGAAAUGCUGCAAAUGUGCUUUUCCUUUGUCUCCGUGCACUUCCUUCGAUAAUUAUUACCAAGAUACAAUUAAUGGCCAGCAUGUCUAUGUAUUCAAUGGAGGGGAGUACUACAGACCUGUUGGCCAUGAUAACAUGUAUGAAUGUAACUUCUGUUUCCACCGUGAAAAGAUAUAGGAGACAAAAAGAGGAGAUGCAACAAAAUGAGAGGAGAGAAGGAACAACAAAUAGAGAGGAGUGGAGAUCACUUAAAUCACAAUUACAUGAAAAAUCACAGAAUAUCAAAAGAGGUACAGUAUA
Molecule: long non-coding RNA, 655 nt
Organism: Cyprinodon tularosa
Lineage: Eukaryota; Metazoa; Chordata; Actinopteri; Cyprinodontiformes; Cyprinodontidae
Exons: 4
Source: RefSeq, a predicted model, not a curated record